ACGUACACUCCUACGGGAGGCAGCAGUGGGGAAUAUUGCACAAUGGGCGCAAGCCUGAUGCAGCCAUGCCGCGUGUAUGAAGAAGGCCUUCGGGUUGUAAAGUACUUUCAGCGGGGAGGAAGGCGAUAAGGUUAAUAACCUUGUCGAUUGACGUUACCCGCAGAAGAAGCACCGGCUAACUCCGUGCCAGCAGCCGCGGUAAUACGGAGGGUGCAAGCGUUAAUCGGAAUUACUGGGCGUAAAGCGCACGCAGGCGGUCUGUCAAGUCGGAUGUGAAAUCCCCGGGCUCAACCUGGGAACUGCAUUCGAAACUGGCAGGCUAGAGUCUUGUAGAGGGGGGUAGAAUUCCAGGUGUAGCGGUGAAAUGCGUAGAGAUCUGGAGGAAUACCGGUUGCGAAGGCGGCCCCCUGGACAAAGACUGACGCUCAGGUGCGAAAGCGUGGGGAGCAAACAGGAUUAGAUACCCCGGUAGUCCCA
RNAcentral lists this ribosomal RNA (477 nucleotides) under uncultured organism. RNAcentral's name for it is "partial 16S ribosomal RNA". It matches the Rfam family "Bacterial small subunit ribosomal RNA", at positions 329 to 797 of the family's 1533-position model. The record is from RNAcentral.